RNAcentral lists this ribosomal RNA (504 nucleotides) under uncultured bacterium. Its description in RNAcentral is "bacterial SSU rRNA". It matches the Rfam family "Bacterial small subunit ribosomal RNA", at positions 19 to 518 of the family's 1533-position model. The record is from RNAcentral.
CUGGCUCAGGAUGAACGCUAGCGACAGGCCUAACACAUGCAAGUCAGGGGCAGCACAAGGAGCAAUCUGAGGUGGCGACCGGCGCACGGGUGAGUAACACGUAUGCAACCUGCCUGUAAGCGGGGAAUAACCCGUUGAAAGACGGACUAAUACCGCAUAAUACUAAAUUACUGCAUGGUAAUUUAUUUAAACAUUUAUGGCUUACAGAUGGGCAUGCGCAUGAUUAGCUAGUUGGAGAGGUAACGGCUCCCCAAGGCAACGAUCAUUAGGGGUUCUGAGAGGAAGGUCCCCCCACACUGGUACUGAGACACGGACCAGACUCCUACGGGAGGCAGCAGUGAGGAAUAUUGGUCAAUGGACGAGAGUCUGAACCAGCCAAGUCGCGUGCAGGAAGAAUGUCCUAUGGAUUGUAAACUGCUUUUGCAGGGGAGUAAAGUGCAUCACGUGUGAUGUUUUGUAUGUACUCUGCGAAUAAGGAUCGGCUAACUCCGUGCCAGCCGCCGC